GCCUCUGUGGCGGAACUGGUAGACGCGACAGACUCAAAAUCUGUUGUCCGCAAGGACGUGGGAGUUCGAGUCUCUCCAGGGGCACCA
This 87-nucleotide transfer RNA is filed under the name Rhodospirillaceae bacterium. RNAcentral describes it as "tRNA-Leu". It matches the Rfam family "tRNA". From Rfam's summary of the family: Transfer RNA (tRNA) molecules are approximately 80 nucleotides in length. Their secondary structure includes four short double-helical elements and three loops (D, anti-codon, and T loops). The record is from RNAcentral. Lineage: Bacteria; Pseudomonadati; Pseudomonadota; Alphaproteobacteria; Rhodospirillales; Rhodospirillaceae.